RNAcentral lists this ribosomal RNA (514 nucleotides) under uncultured bacterium. RNAcentral's name for it is "partial 16S ribosomal RNA". It matches the Rfam family "Bacterial small subunit ribosomal RNA", at positions 28 to 523 of the family's 1533-position model. The record is from RNAcentral.
GAUGAACGCUGGCGGCGUGCCUAAUACAUGCAAGUCGAGCGAACUGAUUAGAAGCUUGCUUCUAUGACGUUAGCGGCGGACGGGUGAGUAACACGUGGGCAACCUGCCUGUAAGACUGGGAUAACUUCGGGAAACCGAAGCUAAUACCGGAUAGGAUCUUCUCCUUCAUGGGAGAUGAUUGAAAGAUGGUUUCGGCUAUCACUUACAGAUGGGCCCGCGGUGCAUUAGCUAGUUGGUGAGGUAACGGCUCACCAAGGCAACGAUGCAUAGCCGACCUGAGAGGGUGAUCGGCCACACUGGGACUGAGACACGGCCCAGACUCCUACGGGAGGCAGCAGUAGGGAAUCUUCCGCAAUGGACGAAAGUCUGACGGAGCAACGCCGCGUGAGUGAUGAAGGCUUUCGGGUCGUAAAACUCUGUUGUUAGGGAAGAACAAGUACAAGAGUAACUGCUUGUACCUUGACGGUACCUAACCAGAAAGCCACGGCUAACUACGUGCCAGCCGCCGCAGUAA